RNAcentral lists this long non-coding RNA (2491 nucleotides) under Homo sapiens (human). RNAcentral's name for it is "HSALNT0409502". Lineage: Eukaryota; Metazoa; Chordata; Mammalia; Primates; Hominidae. The record is from RNAcentral.
CCCUGAGGAAUCGCCACACUGACUUCCACAAUGGUUGAACUAGUUUACAGUCCCACCAACAGUGUAAAAGUGUUUUAUUUCUCCACAUCCUCUCCAGCACCUGUUGUUUCCUGACUUUUUAAUGAUUGCCAUUCUAACUGGUGUGAGAUGGUAUCUCAUUGUGGUUUUGAUCUGCAUUUCUCUGAUGGCCAGUGAAGAUGAGCAUUUUCUCAUGUGUUUUUUGGCUGCAUAAAUGUCUUCUUUUGAGAAGUGUCUGUUCAUAUACUUCACCCACUUUUUGAUGGGGUUGUUUGUUUUUUCUUGUAUAUUUGUUUGAGUUCAUUGUAGAUUCUGGAUAUUAGCCCUUUGUCAGAUGAGUAGGUUGUGAGCUUCUGCAUGGCAAAAGAAACUACCAUCAGAGUGAACAGGCAACCUACAGAAUGGGAGAAAACUUUUGCAACCUACUCAUCUGAUCCUUUGAAUUUCUGUAGUAUCAUUUUAUAUCCAGUUUUUAAUUUCUGAUUUUAUUUAUGUGGGUCUCCUUUUUUUUCUUAUUCUGGCUGAAACUUCCUCAGAUUUGUUUAGCUUUUGAUAUAAUUAACAUCUCUAAUUGACUUUUGUGUUAUUUUCUUUAUGCUUAACAUUAUUAUGAGUAUAUUUUUUAAAUUUUAACUUUUUGGGUAUAUAAUAAGUAUAUAUAUUUAUGGGUGACAUAAGAUGUCAUGGUAUAGGCAUGCAAUGUGAAAUACGGGAAUUGGGUAUCCAUAAUCUCAUGUACUUAACCACUGUGUUGAAAACAAUAUAAUUAUAUCUUUAAGAUAUUUCAAAAUGCACAAUUAUUUUAUUAUGGUCACUGGUAUGCUAUUAAGUAUUAAGUAUUUUUAAUUAUUUCUAAUGUUUUUGCAACCAUUAAUCAUUCCCACCUCUUCCCCUCCCUCCCAAUACCUUUCCAAGACACUGGCAACCAUCCGCUAUGUAUAAAUAUGUUUUUAUUUUUAGGUUCCUAAAUAAGUGUGAACAUGUGUUCAUUGUCUCUCUGUACUUGGCUUAUUUCACAAAAUAUAAUAACUUUAUUUCCAUCUAUGGUGUUGCAAAUGACUGGAUUUUAUUUUUAUUGUCUAUAUUGUACUCUUUUGUGUGUAUGUUUCACAUUUUCUUCAUACAUUCUUCUGGAAGAAUGGACACUUAAGUUGUUUUUAAAUCUUAGCUAUUGCAAACAGUGCUGCAACAAACAUAAAAUCACGGACAUUUCUUUGAUAUAUUCACUUCUUUUUUUCUGGGAUAUAUGCUUAGCAGUAAGAUACAUGGUAGCUGAAUCAUAUGGUAGCUCAAUUAUUAGUUUUUUGUGGAAUGUUCAAAUUUUUUUUCAUAAUGCUUGUACCAAUUUACAUUCCCACCAACAGUGUACAAAGAUACCAUUUUAUUCGAAUCCUCACCAGUAUUUGUUAUUGCCUGUUUUAUGAAUAUAAGCAAUUUUAGCUGGUGUAUGGCAGACUUCCAAAAUCAAAUUUCAAUUUCAAUGUUGUCCUCCCUGUUGCCCAGCUUUUCGGAACUAUAUAGAGGCCCUGAAGUAUCCAGAAAAGGGGUAAACAGGAUUAUUUGACAUGUUUAGGUUUAUGAGAUUGCCGAAGUGAUGUCUAAUCUUCUUCAUGCUAUAGUUUAGUGAAUUAUAUUAAUGUACUUUUUAAAACCAUAUGGAACAUCUAAGGCUCUAAUGUCUGAAUAUGUACUAUCAAUCACAGUUCAGGUUAUUUUGUUGGGUUAUUGUAAACCCCCAAAACAACUGAAUUUCUUUGCUCAUUGUGUUCCUGAUUGUAUUCACUCUGGAGAUUUUGUCAUUUAAAGACAAUUGUUGUCUGGUUUUAAUUGUCUUUAAAAUAUGGUUUAUAAUCAACUUUGAAAUUUUAAAAGGUGUUCUGAAAUGCAUGUUUUUGAUAACUGAAAAUCACACAGAGCUCAUGAAAAGCUAAAAUGUUUAUAAUUGUAAAGCAGAGCAAUAGUUAAUAAAAGAAAGUAAACUAAUAGAAAACUAAAGCAGUAUUUUUUACUUUUGCUUGGAACAUUGCUGAUUCUCAUUUUGUUGUUUAGAGUCAAAAAAAAUUUCAUAAAACCAGAGACUGUUACAUCUUGGUCCACUGUUGAGACUACAACACUUCUUGUUUUCCUCUUUCUUAUUCAAUUUAUAUCAGUAUGGCCUCAUAAAUAUUUAUUUUAUUAUCUUGGUUAUAAAUUAAUGUUAUUCUUAUUUAUUUUGUUGCUCCCAUUUCUUCAGCUUGGCCUAUUGGAAAGUCCAUGUGGCAAUUCCAUAAUCUUCACAAGGUGUCCAUCAAUAUGCCUCAAUCGCCUUCUCUACUGUGACAGCUGACAUUGCAGAAACAGUGGCUUUUAAACCCUGUGCUUGCCUUUGAGUUUUCACUGAACAAAAGUGAAGGUGGCUAAUUUCCUUGUUGGAACAAAGCUGAAAUAUAUUGCCUUUUCAUAAUUUUAUUUGGGUGGUCUUGUCUCCAUUAUG